RNAcentral lists this ribosomal RNA (550 nucleotides) under uncultured bacterium. RNAcentral describes it as "bacterial SSU rRNA". It matches the Rfam family "Bacterial small subunit ribosomal RNA", at positions 355 to 896 of the family's 1533-position model. The record is from RNAcentral.
UAGGGAAUCUUCCGCAAUGGGCGAAAGCCUGACGGAGCAACGCCGCGUGAGUGAUGAAGGUCUUCGGAUCGUAAAACUCUGUUAUCAGGGAAGAACAAAUGUGUAAGUAACUGUGCACAUCUUGACGGUACCUGAUCAGAAAGCCACGGCUAACUACGUGCCAGCAGCCGCGGUAAUACGUAGGUGGCAAGCGUUAUCCGGAAUUAUUGGGCGUAAAGCGCGCGUAGGCGGUUUUUUAAGUUUGAUGUGAAAGCCCACGGCUCAACCGUGGAGGGUCAUUGGAAACUGGAAAACUUGAGUGCAGAAGAGGAAAGUGGAAUUCCAUGUGUAGCGGUGAAAUGCGCAGAGAUAUGGAGGAACACCAGUGGCGAAGGCGACUUUCUGGUCUGUAACUGACGCUGAUGUGCGAAAGCGUGGGGAUCAAACAGGAUUAGAUACCCUGGUAGUCCACGCCGUAAACGAUGAGUGCUAAGUGUUAGGGGGUUUCCGCCCCUUAGUGCUGCAGCUAACGCAUUAAGCACUCCGCCUGGGGAGUACGACCGCAAGGUUG